Molecule: ribosomal RNA, 3372 nt
Filed under: Candidatus Pacearchaeota archaeon
Lineage: Archaea; Nanobdellati
Description: bacterial LSU rRNA
Rfam family: Archaeal large subunit ribosomal RNA
Source: RNAcentral
UGAUGAAGGACGUGGCAAGCUGCGAUAAGCUUGGGGGAGUUGCAUGCAAGCUUUGAUCCCAAGGUCUCUGAAUGCGCUGAGAAGCGGAACUACGCUGGGAAUUGAAACAUCUUAGUACCAGCAGGAAAAGAAAAUAAUAAUGAUUCCCUUAUUAGCAGAGAGCGAAAAGGGAACAGGGCAAACCGAAUCUCCUUUUGAAAAAAAGGCAGAGAUGUGGUGAAGAUAAGUGGCUAAGGAAUCGAGAAAAAAUUACCUGGAAAGGUAUGCUUCAGAGGGUGAUAGCCCCGUAUUCAAAGAUUCUAUGUCACUCUUCAAAAGAGUAGGGCUUCCUGGAUUGGAGGUCUGAAUAUGGGAGGAUUAACUCCCAACCCUAAAUAUAACCAAAGUCCGAUAGUGUACUAGUACCGCGAGGGAAAGCUGAAAAGCACUCUUAGCAGAGGGUGAAAAGACUUGAAAUCUAACAGCUACAGAUUGUUACUGCUCUAUUCUGUUUACAGAAAUGGGUUGUAACGUACGUUUCGAAGAACGGGCCAGGGAGUUUAUUCAUAUGGCAAGGCUAACCUUUUAUUAGGGUAACCGAAGCGAAAGCAAGUCUGAAAGGGCGUAAUUCGCGACUCGCUAUUGUGAUUAGUUGUUAAAAAUUAGUCAACAGCGAAUCGCUCAGUCAUAUGGGUAAGACCUGAAGCCAGAUGAUCUAUUCAUGGGCAAGGUGAAGUCUUUCGAAAGAGAGAUGGAGGCCUGAACCUGUGUUGUGGACAUGCACUUGGAUGACCUGUGAAUAGGGGUGAAAAGCCUAUCUAAUCUGGCGAUGGCUGGUUCCUGCUGAAAUAUGCCUUCGUAUAGUCUUGUCGUGUAGCUUGUUAAUGGUGUAAAGUACGGAUGGAAAUUGCAGGGGCUAUUGCUUACGGAUUUCUUUCCAACUCAGAAACCAUUAACUGCUUAAGACAGGAAACAGGGGCAGUAUGUAAGAUACUGUUCCGAGACCGGAACAACGGAGACCAGAGUUAAGGUCCCAAAAUUUAUGCUAAGUGUAUUGAAGGUUGUCUUGAACCUAAGACACUGGGGAUGUAAGCCUAGAAGCAGCUAUCAUUUAAAGAAAGCGUAACAGCUCACCCAUCGAGGUUCGAGGCGCCGAAAAUGGACGGGGCUCAAGCAUAAUACCGAUACUCUGGAGACACAUUUUUGUGUCUGGUAAGCAGGCGUGCUUUCUGCGUAGAAGGUUUUCCAAAAGGAAGACUGGAGCGGGAAGCAAUGAGAAUCCUGGCAAUAGUAGGAUGUGAUAUUCCUGAGAACGGAAUAGGUCAUAAGGGCAAGGUUUCCUUGGCAAUAUAUGUUAGCUAAGGGUUAGUCAGGACCUAAGUUGUAUUUUAACCUAAUACAACGAUGGAUAUCAGGUUAAUAUUCCUGAACUGAUUAAGUCUUAUAUAGUAAGAUUUGCUUUCGGAUAAGGGAGCACUCGAAAGAGUGUUCUAAUAGAGAAACAAGAGGAGGGUAAUCCAUAGAUCCUUGUGAAUCUGUUAGACAAAAUCCCUGAUUCCAAGAGUCAGUGAAAAGAUCUUACUCUUGACUUAAUCACCUGUACCCACAACCGGCACUGGUGCCCUAGCUGAAUAGGCUAAGACCUGAAAGGUAAAACCAACCAAGGGAAUUCGGCAAGUUAGUCCUGUAGCUUCGGCUGAAGGGAUGUCUAUCUUUGUGUUUUGUUUCUUCGGAAAUUUAAUGCAUUGAUAGAUCUCAGUAACAAGGACGGCCCGACUGUUUACCAAAAACGUAACCAAGUGCUAAUCCGAAAGGACUUGUAUACUUGGUGAAACCUGCCCAGUGGUGGUGUGUCAAACUGGCUUUCAAGCCAGCUAAGCCCCAUUAAACGGCGGGGGUAACUAUGACCCUCUUAAGGUAGAAUUACUGCCUUAGUAAAAUCUGGCUAUAUGCUGGGAAAUCUGAGUAUCUCACUCUACAACGACAACUAAAAUUUUUAUAGUUGGUUCGCGUGAAAAUGAGAUGAGUGCAGACCACCAGCAGGAAAGACUAGAUGCUUCAUGGGUUGUUGGUUUUAGUGAUGGGGAAGGAUGUUUCCAUAUCUCCAUUAAUAAAAUUCCUGGAAUGAGUUUAGGAUGGCAAGUCCUUCCAGAGUUUAGAAUUGUUCAACAUGAAAAAGAUGAAUCUGUUUUAUAUAAAAUCAGAGAUUACUUUGGUUUCGGAAAUAUUAAAAUUAACAACAUUGAUGAAAAUGCAACAAGAAAAGGAUUUAGAGUUAGAGGCUUAGAGAAUCAUAGAGAACAUCUAACAAAAAAAGGGCUUGACAAAAUUGCCAAACUUGUUUCAGAAAUGAAUCGUAAACCAAACUUAAAGUAUCUAGAAUCCUCAGAGACUAUACGCCAGACACAAUCUAGUAAGAUUGUGAAGAUAUAGUCCGACCCUUAUGGCGACAUAAGGAGGCUUGCAGAAAUGACAAGCCCCUCGAGAAAUCUCGAGAGUAACAAACGUGAACGUAAUACCUUGUCGUCUGAAUGGCGACUUGCAUGAAUGGUUUAACGAGGUUGUCACUGUCCCUGGUUGGAGCCUUCUGAAAAUACUGCGUGGUGAAAAUGCCACGGACGCCUAGUGGGAAGCGAAGACCUUGUGGAACUUUACUGCAACUUGUUGUUGUAGUUUUAAGAAAAAUGCAUAGAAUAAGUAGGAGCGUCGAUGCUGUCAUUUCGGUGGCAGCGGAGCGUCAGUGUAAUACUACUCACUUUUCUUAGAACUGCUCACUCUUUAGAGGACAGCAACAGGCGGGCAGUUUGGCUGGGGCGGCGCCCUGUCGAAAAAAUAUCGAUAGGACCCAAAGACAAGCUCAUCCAGCUUGGAAAUCUGGAGUUGAGUGCAAGGGCAAAAGCUUGUCUGACUGUAUUCUGAAAAGCAAGGAAUACAGGCUCGAAAGAGAGGCCUAGCGAACCCACGUGCUUUUUUAAUAGAAGCCGUGUCUGAUAAAAAAGUUACCCCAAGGAUAACAGGCUUGUCGCGCCCGAUAGUCCAUAUUGACGGCGCGGUUUGGUACAUCGCUGUCGGCUCUUCCUAUCCUAGCCGUGCAGAAGCGGCUAAGGGUGUCGGAGUUCACGCAUUAAAAGGAAUCGUUAGCUGGGUUAAGAACGUCGCGAGACAGUUUGUAUGAUAUCUACUAGGUGUGUUGUUGUCUGAGUGGAACGAGUCUGUAGUACGAGAGGAACCAGACUCGGAUGCCUCUGGUGAGCGGUUGUCAUAUGGCAGGCCGCAUAGCUACGCAUUGUGUGGAUAAGAGCUGAAUGCAUCUAAGCUCGAAGCCACCCGCAAAACGAGACAACUAAGGCCGUUAUAGAAGAUGACGUUGAUAGAGCUCUUGUGUAAGAUGCA